This 1133-nucleotide long non-coding RNA is filed under the name Pan troglodytes (chimpanzee). RNAcentral's name for it is "lincRNA". The record is from RNAcentral. Lineage: Eukaryota; Metazoa; Chordata; Mammalia; Primates; Hominidae.
GCUAAAGGUCGUAAGCAAGGACAAUGAACCUGGAAUUUGGAGGAAUUCAUACUCCAGUGAAGAAUUUCCAGACCCCUCAUGAGAAUAGCAGAUUGCCUACUCACCAGAGAAUACUCAAGCUGAAACUAAGCAGCCCCUGGAGAGUAAGCAAAUGAUUAGAAGGGUAGAUUUCAGGCAAGCAAAAGGGUGAGAGCCCAGAAUCUCCAUGUGAAUGACCCUAAAAUUACAGCUAAUAUAGGAAGUGGCUUCCUUGUACCUCUAGAAAUUGAACUCUCAGAACCUGACUGACAGUCUGCUCUUAAGAACAUUACCUCAAUCUGGAGAGAAAUGUGUGUUUCUUCUCCUAUAUGGAUUUCAGACAGAAGCAGAAGGAGGCUUAGAGGUUCUUCGUCACAAGUUGCCAAAAUGAAACAGAACUGUGAAAAGAAAAUGGAGAUGCUUCUUCAGGAGGUGCCCGUGAUGUGAUUUACUUGAUGAUUAUGGCCUGCAGGGUAUUGAGAUGGGAUUGUGGAACUUAAAUAAACUGGAUAUGAGUAGAGAUCUGAAAGGUUUUUCAAAAACAUUCAGCUUUACUUUUUUUUCCCCCUAAGGAACAAGUUGUUCACUCAUAGAGCUGAAAAGGAUAAAUGAAGUGUUCAGUUCACAGAAGCAAAAUAUGAGUAGUUCAUAUAUCUUUUGUAAAUGUUCUAUGUAUCACUGUAAACUAGACAUCUUCCACAUGCCCCUAUGUUUUUCCAUUUUGAAAUCAAUUUCUAGUUCAAACUUGUCAAUAGACAAUGAAUAUUUGCAAAGUUAUAGUUUCACUGAAUUAGGAUGUAACCUGUAGCUCACAAUGAAAAUGCCAUUAGCUUGAGUUUAAAAUUUAUGUUGCUAUUUUUUUCUUUUGUCAAUAUUUUCCUUCUGUGGUACUUAUUGCACAAGGGUCGGAUAUCACAACUGAGGGAAACUGCAGAACAAUGGUUCUUCCAAUCAUUCAGACCCAUUUAAGCCAUAGUCUUUGUUGGCUUUGCCAAAUGACUGAAUGCUUGGGUCUAUUAGGACUGUCAAAUAGUGUUGAGUACAUACUUGUGGCAUAAGCAAGUUAAUAUUUAUAGGGAGCACUUUUGCAUGUCUUUUAAGUCACAUACUAAUUU